RNAcentral lists this ribosomal RNA (410 nucleotides) under Diversispora sp. RNAcentral's name for it is "partial large subunit ribosomal RNA". The record is from RNAcentral. Lineage: Eukaryota; Fungi; Glomeromycota; Glomeromycetes; Diversisporales; Diversisporaceae.
CAGUCGUGCUGGCGCGAAAUCAACUCAACGAACGGGUAAUUGCGGGCGUAUGACAGAUCGCAUUGAAAGGGAAACGAUUGAAGUCAGUCAUGCCAGUGAAAAUUCAGUUUGGCGUGGAUCUCGUUCAGGAGUAGAGGCAGGGUCAAACCGUCUCUCUUUUGAACGGAUUCUUGUCAGAUGUAUUUUUUCUCUUGCAGGUCAGCGUCGGUUUCGGGGGUUGUAAAAUACUUGGGGUAAAGUAGCUCUGCUUCGGGAGAGUGUUAUAGACCUUGGGGGAUGCAGCCCGCGGGAUCGAGGAUUGCAGCAAAUGCCUUUGGCUUGUCGCCUGAUCUCUGGAUGUUACCUUGCUUGCAACAACAUUCUUGUUGCCGGUGAGUACUAAUGCUCAUUAGGUUAGAGCGAUCAAAAAU